AAUAUUUAUAUUGGAACAGACGGUGCCCACAUGUCGCGCUCUCUGUACACUGAAAAAAAAUAAAGGUAGUUAAAAUGGUUCUUCUUCAGCCUUAAGGAUCGGAACCUUUUUUUCAAUUUUCGCCUCAAAUGACCUACCCAAAUCUAACUGCCUGUAGCUCAGGAACUGAAAAGCCUGAAACAACUUCUAACGACUGUUGACAUCUACUAGAAGCCUUAGGAAGUGCAAUCUGACCCCAGAGACACUGGAUAUUGGAUAGGCAUUCACUUGAAAACUACAAGCCUCAGAAUUCCCACUUCCUGGUUGGAUUUUUCGCAUAGACGCAGAAUAGGACAAUGACCAAACACACUUCCAGGCUGUGUAAGAGCUAUUUGACCAAGAAGAAGAGUGAUGGAGUGCUGCAUCAGAUGACCGGGCCUCCACAAUCACCUGACCUUAACCAAAUUGAGAUGGUUUGGGAUGAGUUGGACCGCAGAGUGAAGGAAAAGCAGCCAACAAGUGUUCAUCAUAUGUAGGAACUCCUUCAAAACUGUUGGAAAAGAAUUCCAUGUGAAGCUGGUUGAGAUAAUGCCAAGAGUGUUUAAAGCUGUCUUCAAGGCAAAGGGUGGCUACGUUGAAGAAAAUAUAUUUUGAUUUGUUUAACACUUUUUUGAUUAUUACAUGAUUCCAUAUAUGUUGUUUCAUAGUUUUGAUGGCUUCACUAUUACUAUUAUGUAGCAAACAGUAAAAAUAAAGAAAAACCCUUGAAUGAGUUGGACUGCAAAGUGAAGGAAAAACAGCCAACAAGUACUCAGCAUAUGUGGGAACUCCUUCAAGAUUGUUGGAAAAGCAUUCCAGGUGAAGGUAGGUUGAGAUUAACUUCAGGAUCACACCACCACUCUGAUCUCUGACCAGCUAACACUGUCAGUACACAUGGAACAGUAGAAAGUGAACUUAGAGGAGGUGUUGGGCCACUGGUUGCAUCCCAUUUGGCACCAUAUUCCCAAUAUAAUAUAUUACUUUUGACCAGCACCCAUAGGACUUUGGUCAAAAGUAGUGAACUAUAAAGGAAAUAGGAUGCCAUAGACUUGGUCAAAGGUAGUGGACUAUAUAGGGAAAAGGCUGCAAUUUGGACAGUGGUCAACAGUAGUGCACUAGAAAAUAGGGUGCCAUUUGGGACACACCCUGUCUCACCUCGUCGAAGUCUGCAAUGAUCUCGUUGAGAAGCCUGAGACACUCCACUCCCAUGUUGUUGCCAUCCAGCUCGAUGUAGAAGUUGUUGAAGUUAGCAAUGGAAGCAAACAGCACUCCUACCUGACAAUACGACUGAUAGUACAGGUCCUGAAACAAAUUCAGACAGGUGAGAUAAGCUAAGAUGAAAGGAAUAUUACACAAGUAUUAACAGGUAUUAACAAGUCCUGGGACAGUUGUGCCCUCAAAGCUCAUCACUAAGUUAAGGACCCUGGGACUAAACACCUCCCUCUGCAACUGGAUUCUGGACUUCCUGACAGGCCGCCCCUAGGUGGUAAGGGUACGUAAAACAUCUGCCACGCUGAUCCUCAACACAGGGCCCCUCAGGACUGUGUGCUCGGUCCCCUCCUGUACUCCCUGUUCACCCAUGACUGCAUGGCCAAGCACGACUCCAACACCAUCAUUACAUUUGCCGUACGACCCAGUACAUCACUGGGGCCAAGCUUCCUGCCAUCCAGGACCUCUAUACCAGGCGGUGUCAGAGGAAGGCCCAAAAAAUUGCCAAGGUCUACAGCCACCCUAGUCAUAGACUCUUCUCUCUGCUACCACAUGGCAAUCGGUACCGGAGCGCAAUGUCUAGGUCCAAAUGGCUUCUUAACAGCUUCUAGCCCCAAGCCAUAAGACUCCUGAACAGCUAAUCAAAUGACUACCCAGACUAUUUGCAUUGUCCCCACCCCCUAUUUUUACGCUGCUGCCACUCUCUGUUUAUUAUCCAUGCAUACUCACUUUACCUCUACCUACAGCGCAUGUACAUAUUACCUCAAUUACCUCAACUAACCGGUGCCUCCGCACAUUGACUCUGUACCGGUACCACCUGUAUAUACCCUCGCCACUGUUAUUUUAUUGUUGCGCCUUAAUUAUUUGUUAUGUUUAAAAAAUAUAUAUUACUUCAGUUUAUUUUAGUAAAUACUUUAAUACUUUAUUUCUUAAAUCUGCAUUGUUGGUUCAGGACUUGUAAGUAAGCAUUUCACUGUAAGGUCUACACAUGUUGUAUUUGGCACAUAUGACAGAUACAAUUUGAUUUGAUUUGUUACAAAGGGUUGAGGAGGAAGUUCUGGAUUUUAUAACUUCAUGUUAGAUGGUUCAUCCCCCUGAAAGAACAGUUAUUACAGAUUUAACGGUACCUGUCCUAGAUCAGUGGAGCGAGGGUUCAGUUAUUACAUAGGGUUAACAGUACUGGUCCUAGAACAGAGGCAGAGAGGUAGACAGGGAACUAGGAGUUAAAUAGGGCUAAUACACAUGUCCUGGGACAGUUACAGAGGGUUAACAGUAACUGUUCUAGAAUAGAGGUAGACAAUGAACUAGUAGUUAGAUAGUGCUAAUACACAGGUCUAGGAACGGUUGAUACAGGGUACAGUUUCCAUGAGCAGAGAGAGUAUGUAAGUUAGAUACGGCUAAUUAACUGGUCCUGGGACAGUUGUUUAAGGCUACCAGUACAUAUUCUAGGACAUUGGACUGAUGUGGCUUUCUUGUGCAUUUCUCUGCACUGUGUACCUUAUAUUUGCAACAAUGUAUCAUCUACAGCACCCUGCCAUAUUAGUACAGCGCAUUGAAGGACAUAGGGAUACAUGGGAUUCUUUUAACAUUCCAGGGUCUUAGAGUCACCACUGUUUCCGGAAAGACACUUCCUGGUUCCACUGUUUACAAAACAAUCCUGUUCUUGUAACAGGAAUACACAUUUCCUGGUUGGGAAGUCUCCAGGAUGUUUGAUUUCAUAAUUUCCUGUUCCUGAGAAGGGGGGGGGGGGGCAGACAUCAGUAAGACAGAUAUUGAUCAAUCAAUGGACACAGCAACAGAGAACAGCCAAACAUCAACCACAACCGCAACCACUGUAUGACCUUGGAGGUCAAAGAAGCAAUUCUUGAUAACACCCUGUUCAAAACAUGACCACGUCAUGAUGCGGUCAGAUCACAAUACAACCCAAACACGACCUCAAAUCAACCCAACCGCACCAGCUACUCUAGUGCACCGCUACCCAAACAUUAGAUGACCCAGUUCUG
This is a long non-coding RNA of Salvelinus fontinalis (brook trout), 3230 nucleotides long. RefSeq lists it as uncharacterized. The record is from RefSeq and is a predicted model, not a curated record. Lineage: Eukaryota; Metazoa; Chordata; Actinopteri; Salmoniformes; Salmonidae. The transcript has 3 exons.